UACGUAGGGUGCAAGCGUUGUCCGGAAUUAUUGGGCGUAAAGAGCUUGUAGGCGGUUUGUCGCGUCUGCCGUGAAAAUCCGGGGCUCAACCCCGGACUUGCGGUGGGUACGGGCAGACUAGAGUGUGGUAGGGGAGACUGGAAUUCCUGGUGUAGCGGUGAAAUGCGCAGAUAUCAGGAGGAACACCUAUAGCGAAGGCAGCUCGCUGGGACGACACUGACGCUGAGACGCGAAAGCGUGGGGAGCGAACAGG
This 253-nucleotide ribosomal RNA is filed under the name uncultured bacterium. RNAcentral describes it as "partial 16S ribosomal RNA". It matches the Rfam family "Bacterial small subunit ribosomal RNA", at positions 524 to 776 of the family's 1533-position model. The record is from RNAcentral.